This 109-nucleotide small nucleolar RNA is filed under the name Pan troglodytes (chimpanzee). Its description in RNAcentral is "Small nucleolar RNA U13". It matches the Rfam family "Small nucleolar RNA U13". The record is from Rfam by way of RNAcentral. Lineage: Eukaryota; Metazoa; Chordata; Mammalia; Primates; Hominidae.
AUCAUUUUGCAGCUUAUACAUGUGAUGACUGGGUUUUUUAACUCAUAAGUGAGAUGUGACAUUUCUUUCUUACAUCUUAUUAUGACAUUAGUACAUUACCCAUUUCAUA